AUCUGAAGUCUGGUGAGUGGCAAGAAGAGAAUAAGCCAGUGGAUUUAGCUCUCAGCUCAGUGGCCAAUCACUGCAGCGAUAUGAGUGAGGUGAGUGAGCUGUGACUUAGAUCAGCCCUCUCCUCCUGUAUCAAUACACAGAAGUUAUGCAUGUUGCACCUCCUUCCCUGACUGCCUUGCAGUUUUGUAAAGCUUUGGUUUUGUGGAGAACCCAAAGGCAGGCAUCAAUACUUGGUAGGCAUAAAGCUAUGGGAGUUGCUGUAGUCAUGGAGAGAAAUGGGAGAUGGCAGGAGAGACACUUUAACAGACCAGAGGAUUCAAGACCUAAUUGAUUAACUCGCUCCAAGGAAGCAUCAGUGGCUGAUGUGUGGAGGGGAAGACUGUGGGGGCAUACAGAAGAGGCCAAAGCUGCUUGGAUGGAAUUAUGUGAAAAGAUUGCAGUCCUCUGGCUGUUCCUUGAGCAACAGGAUCGAAUACCUUCUCUUGCAGCUUCCUUCUAGCUGGUACAGAUACCUUACAAUCCACAUACAUUCCCUUCAAAAUAAAUCCUACAGCUUUUAUUCCCCUGAAAGGAACACCGAGCAAUUUUCUGCAGAAUCCUCUGAAUUCAGCUGAAAGUCUCUCAAAAUCUUCAUGGUGCUGCUAGACCAAGCUCUGAAAUGUUUUCUCUUCACUUGGAAUUCUGCUCCUUGUCCAUUCUUGUAUUAAUGGUUCCUUUUCAUGGAAGCCCAAGAGGAGAGGCCAAAGGCUGAACUAAUAUGAAUUUUAGUUUGUUUUUCCAACCUAUAUUCAAUAGAAAAGUCUCACUAGUUCAGAAUCAAAAAAGAAUCCUAAUUCUUGACUGUUUGCCAUUGUGUAUUAUUCAGCUGGAUAAAGCUUGAAAACUGUUUCUAAUUCAAGUGAUAUCCUUAUAAGUGCUCUGUUCAACUAGAAACCCUAAAAGAAGUAUGUUUCUAUGAAUGAAGGUUUGGAAGAUUUUUAGUCUGCAUUUUUUUUUUUGCAAAUAUGUCACUUGCUUCUGAAGCUGCUUAUAUAUGCAAUGCAAAAGUUACUCUGGCAAUCACAGAAUUUAAUGAACAGAAGAAUAAACAGGUGCAUAAGAACUCUGAAACA
This 1112-nucleotide long non-coding RNA is filed under the name Parus major (Great Tit). Its description in RNAcentral is "lncRNA (ENSPMJG00000002173.1)". The record is from RNAcentral. Lineage: Eukaryota; Metazoa; Chordata; Aves; Passeriformes; Paridae.